Molecule: transfer RNA, 82 nt
Filed under: Actinomycetota bacterium
Lineage: Bacteria; Bacillati; Actinomycetota
Description: tRNA-Tyr
Rfam family: tRNA
About the family: Transfer RNA (tRNA) molecules are approximately 80 nucleotides in length.
Source: RNAcentral
GGGUCGGUGCCCGAGCGGCCAAAGGGAGCAGACUGUAAAUCUGCCGGCUCAGCCUACGGAGGUUCGAAUCCUCCCCGGCCCA